Molecule: ribosomal RNA, 497 nt
Filed under: uncultured bacterium
Lineage: Bacteria
Description: partial 16S ribosomal RNA
Rfam family: Bacterial small subunit ribosomal RNA
Source: RNAcentral
GGUGAACGCUGGCGGCGUGCCUAAUACAUGCAAGUCGAGCGAACGGACGAGAAGCUUGCUUUUCUGAUGUUAGCGGCGGACGGGUGAGUAACACGUGGAUAACCUACCUAUAAGACUGGGAUAACUUCGGGAAACCGGAGCUAAUACCGGAUAAUAUUUUGAACCGCAUGGUUCAAAAGUGAAAGACGGUCUUGCUGUCACUUAUAGAUGGAUCCGCGCUGCAUUAGCUAGUUGGUAAGGUAACGGCUUACCAAGGCAACGAUGCAUAGCCGACCUGAGAGGGUGAUCGGCCACACUGGAACUGAGACACGGUCCAGACUCCUACGGGAGGCAGCAGUAGGGAAUCUUCCGCAAUGGGCGAAAGCCUGACGGAGCAACGCCGCGUGAGUGAUGAAGGUCUUCGGAUCGUAAAACUCUGUUAUUAGGGAAGAACAUAUGUGUAAGUAACUGUGCACAUCUUGACGGUACCUAAUCAGAAAGCCACGGCUAUCUACGUG